This 253-nucleotide ribosomal RNA is filed under the name uncultured bacterium. RNAcentral's name for it is "partial 16S ribosomal RNA". It matches the Rfam family "Bacterial small subunit ribosomal RNA", at positions 524 to 776 of the family's 1533-position model. The record is from RNAcentral.
UACGGAGGGUACAAGCGUUGUUCGGAUUUACUGGGCGUAAAGGGCGCGUAGGCGGGCCUGUAAGUCGGAUGUGAAAACUGGCGGCUCAACUGCCAGCUUGCAUUCGAUACUGCAGGUCUUGAGUACAGGAGAGGAAAGUGGAAUUCCAGGUGUAGCGGUGAAAUGCGUAGAUAUCUGGAAGAACACCAGUAGCGAAGGCGGCUUUCUGGACUGAUACUGACGCUAAAGCGCGAAGGCUUGGGGAGCAAACAGG